CAGCAGCCCGACCUGAGUGGAGCUCUUUUUCUUUUUUUGCAAAAAAAGAAAAAAGCGGGAACGGAGGGCGGAUUAAGC
RNAcentral lists this small RNA (78 nucleotides) under Epilithonimonas arachidiradicis. RNAcentral's name for it is "Chryseobacterium arachidiradicis Flavo-1 RNA". The record is from RNAcentral. Lineage: Bacteria; Pseudomonadati; Bacteroidota; Flavobacteriia; Flavobacteriales; Weeksellaceae.